This 20-nucleotide microRNA is filed under the name Corchorus capsularis. RNAcentral's name for it is "sRNA CCACVL1_19482". Lineage: Eukaryota; Viridiplantae; Streptophyta; Magnoliopsida; Malvales; Malvaceae. The record is from RNAcentral.
AAAAGGAAUAAAAAGAUAUA